CGAAAGCCUGACGGAGCAAGACCGCGUGAGGGAGGAAGGCUCUUGGGUUGUAAACCUCUUUUCUCAGGGAAGAAGCUCUGACGGUACCUGAGGAAUCAGCCUCGGCUAACUCCGUGCCAGCAGCCGCGGUAAUACGGAGGAGGCAAGCGUUAUCCGGAAUUAUUGGGCGUAAAGCGUCCGCAGGUGGCAGUUCAAGUCUGCUGUCAAAGACAGUGGCUCAACCACUGAAAGGCAGCAGAUACUGAGCAGCUAGAGUGCGGUAGGGGCAGAGGGAAUUCCCGGUGUAGCGGUGAAAUGCGUAGAUUUCGGGAAGAACAUCGGUGGCGAAAGCGCUCUGCUGGACCGCAACUGACACUCAGGGACGAAAGCUAGGGGAGCG
Molecule: ribosomal RNA, 379 nt
Filed under: uncultured cyanobacterium
Lineage: Bacteria; Bacillati; Cyanobacteriota
Description: bacterial SSU rRNA
Rfam family: Bacterial small subunit ribosomal RNA
Source: RNAcentral